RNAcentral lists this ribosomal RNA (301 nucleotides) under uncultured bacterium. Its description in RNAcentral is "partial 16S ribosomal RNA". It matches the Rfam family "Bacterial small subunit ribosomal RNA", at positions 509 to 807 of the family's 1533-position model. The record is from RNAcentral.
CAGCCGCCGCGGGAAAACGUAGGGUGCAAGCGUUAAUCGGAAUUACUGGGCGUAAAGCGUGCGCAGGCGGUUCGUUAAGACAGAUGUGAAAUCCCCGGGCUUAACCUGGGAACUGCAUUUGUGACUGGCGGGCUAGAGUAUGGCAGAGGGGGGUAGAAUUCCACGUGUAGCAGUGAAAUGCGUAGAGAUGUGGAGGAAUACCGAUGGCGAAGGCAGCCCCCUGGGCCAAUACUGACGCUCAUGCACGAAAGCGUGGGGAGCAAACAGGAUUAGAUACCCCAGUAGUCCCUGUCUCUUAUAC